Long non-coding RNA from Triticum aestivum (bread wheat), 798 nucleotides. RefSeq lists it as uncharacterized. The record is from RefSeq and is a predicted model, not a curated record. Lineage: Eukaryota; Viridiplantae; Streptophyta; Magnoliopsida; Poales; Poaceae. The transcript has 2 exons.
AUCAAUCCAUUCAGAUAGCGUGGCCCGGCCGAGAGGUCGCCUGCUCGCCACUGUGAGUUACAGAAGUGGCAGGAGCAGCGAAGGGGUCGAGCGCCGUCGUGUGUCGCCGCCGGGGGCCGUGCGUCGCCGUGUGUCGCCAGCCCGCGGCCAGCUACCGCAUGCGGCAGCCACACCGCAGGUCACAGCUCGCGGCAACUACGCGUGCGCACGCACGCACAAGCUAUCGUCGCGCCGCGAGCUUAGCCUGGCCACCCACAGCUGCCGCAACCACACGUGGGCUCUUCCGACACCCACCGCCCACGGUCGACCUGUGAGCCACACAUGCACCGCCGCGAAGCACCUCUUGAUCCCCUCCAUGGCCUCGUGCUCGCCGUCGCAGUCCAUCACCCUAGAGGCCGAGCGGGGCAAGAUCCGUGGAGCUGCGCAUGGGGUCACCAUAUCGUCAUCGUGCUUCUCAAUUCUGGUCGGGUAUCACUUGGGUCGGGCGGCAGAGAUGGCGAAUUCCUCCUCGUGUGCCUGAGGGUGGUGCAAUCCUAUACUUCGAGAAAUAAAAUCUUAUGGUUAUAUGCUAUGAGUUAAGGUGAAACCGUGAAAGGCUGCUUGAAUUGUAUGCCUCACUCACGUAAUGAAUCCUUUGUGCAGAGAGCUCUUUUUGAUGCCCUCAUAAGUAAUGAAUUUGCUACUCAGCAAAAACAGUAGCUAUUUGUGUUAUGGGAUACUGCUUGCUUCUUGUGUAAAAAUGACGAUAUGGCUUUAGUUUAUGCAAAAUAAUCAUCCAGGUAUUUAAAGUUCGUCCAA